CCUACGGGUGGCAGCAGUGGGGAAUUUUCCGCAAUGGGCGAAAGCCUGACGGAGCAAUACCGCGUGAGGGAGGAAGGCUCUUGGGUUGUAAACCUCUUUUGAUCGGGAAGAAGACAGUGACGGUACCGAUCGAAUCAGCAUCGGCUAACUCCGUGCCAGCAGCCGCGGUAAUACGGAGGAUGCAAGCGUUAUCCGGAUUUAUUGGGCGUAAAGCGUCCGCAGGUGGUUGAGCAAGUCUGCUGUCAAAGCGCGGAGCUUAACUCCGUAAAGGCAGUGGAAACUGUUUAACUUGAGUACGGUAGGGGUAGCGGGAAUUCCCAGUGUAGCGGUGAAAUGCGUAGAUAUUGGGAAGAACACCAGCGGCGAAAGCGCGCUACUGGGCCUGUACUGACACUGAGGGACGAAAGCUAGGGGAGCGAAAGGGAUUAGAUACCCGAGUAGUC
RNAcentral lists this ribosomal RNA (443 nucleotides) under Cyanobacteriota bacterium 0457_11PIIRGII. RNAcentral's name for it is "bacterial SSU rRNA". It matches the Rfam family "Bacterial small subunit ribosomal RNA", at positions 338 to 795 of the family's 1533-position model. Lineage: Bacteria; Bacillati; Cyanobacteriota. The record is from RNAcentral.